Molecule: long non-coding RNA, 337 nt
Filed under: Portunus trituberculatus (swimming crab)
Lineage: Eukaryota; Metazoa; Arthropoda; Malacostraca; Decapoda; Portunidae
Description: uncharacterized LOC123506181, transcript variant X2
Source: RNAcentral
UAUUAAUAAUCUCACAGUUGGCAAGACACUGAGUCACUCCCUCAGUGUUCCUCGGGACUCCACAGCGAGAGGAAGUGUGUCGCGCUGGCUCCUCGGGGCCUCCAAAUUCAGCCACCAUGCUCAGCGCUGCUAUGGGUGGGUCGGCGCGUCUCAGCCAGCCUGAUGUACGUUCGCCUUUGUACAUUAAUCCUGAGAUGCGAGAGGAAACAAGCGUGCAUCUCAGCCAGCCAGAUGUGAGAAAAUUGUUCACUUCAAAUGACGGUUUCAAAUCCCCUGUGUCACAAUUGUAUUGAAAGAAAAAUUGAAAAAAAGGAAGAAAAACAGAAAAUAAGACUAC